Molecule: ribosomal RNA, 376 nt
Filed under: Arthroleptis nimbaensis (Mount Nimba screeching frog)
Lineage: Eukaryota; Metazoa; Chordata; Amphibia; Anura; Arthroleptidae
Description: partial 16S ribosomal RNA
Rfam family: Bacterial large subunit ribosomal RNA
Source: RNAcentral
CUGCAAUCAGUGAAACUGAUCUCCCCGUGAAGAAGCGGGGAUUAAUAUAUAAGACGAGAAGACCCCAUGAAGCUUUAAAUUAAAUAUUAACUGUUAACUCAACACCAAUUUAACUUAACAGACCUAAUUAUUAAUUUUAGGUUGGGGUGACCACGGAGUAAAAUAAAACCUCCACAAUGAAAAGACCUAAAUCCCUUAUCCAAGAGGAACAACUCUAAUAAUCAAUAUAUUGACAUAACUUGACCCAAUCCUUGAUCAAUGAACCAAGUUACUCUGGGGAUAACAGCGCAAUCCAUUUUAAGAGCCCAUAUCGACAAAUGGGUUUACGACCUCGAUGUUGGAUCAGGGUAUCCCAGUGGUGCAACCGCUACUAAAG